This 470-nucleotide ribosomal RNA is filed under the name uncultured bacterium. RNAcentral's name for it is "partial 16S ribosomal RNA". It matches the Rfam family "Bacterial small subunit ribosomal RNA", at positions 28 to 507 of the family's 1533-position model. The record is from RNAcentral.
GACGAACGCUGGCGACGUGCUUAACACAUGCAAGUCGAACGAGAUCCAAUGUGUAGCCAUCCACCGGAAGAUCUAGUGGCGAACGGGUGAGGAACACGUGAGAAACGUACCCCAGACUUUGGGAUAACAGUCCGAAAGGACUGCUAAUACCAAAUAACGUCGGAAGUCCGCAUGGACAUCUGACGAAAGGGAUUCCGGUUUGGGAGCGUCUCGCGGACCUAUCAGCUAGUUGGAGGGGUAACGGCCCACCAAGGCAACGACGGGUAGCUGGUCUGAGAGGAUGGUCAGCCACACUGGGACUGAGACACGGCCCAGACUCCUACGGGAGGCAGCAGUGGGGAAUCUUGCGCAAUGGGCGAAAGCCUGACGCAGCAACGCCGCGUGCGGGAAGAAGGCUUUCGGGCUGUAAACCGCUUUCAGUAGGAACGAAACUGACGGUACCUACAGAAGAAGGAGCGGCCAACUAUGUG